UACGGAGGGGGCUAGCGUUGUUCGGAAUUACUGGGCGUAAAGCGCACGUAGGCGGCUUUGUAAGUUAGAGGUGAAAGCCCGGGGCUCAACUCCGGAAUUGCCUUUAAGACUGCAUCGCUAGAAUUGUGGAGAGGUAAGUGGAAUUCCGAGUGUAGAGGUGAAAUUCGUAGAUAUUCGGAGGAACACCAGUGGCGAAGGCGGCUCACUGGCUCGAUACUGACGCUGGAGGUGCGAAAAGCGUGGGGAGCAAACAGG
Molecule: ribosomal RNA, 255 nt
Filed under: uncultured bacterium
Lineage: Bacteria
Description: partial 16S ribosomal RNA
Rfam family: Bacterial small subunit ribosomal RNA
Source: RNAcentral